GUAAGUUCUUGUUCAACUUGUCCUUAUUAUCACUACAACAACCUUCUAGUUGCAUAACAGAUUACAUACUUUAUAAGAUAUUGGUUUGGUCGAAUAAUAAGCCGAAAUGAAGUAAUAUAAAAGAGCAUAUGCCGAAGUAAUUAAAGUUUGGAUACCUAUAAGACGUAUUUUAAGCUAGGAAGCACGGACUCGGAUACAAGGACAUAAGACACGGGGGUUCGCCAACUAUCAAAGACACCCGGAUACGGGACUCAGCACAAAAAAUUAAUAAUAGUAAUAAAAUAGGAUUCAUAUAUGUCAAAUUUCAUUCAUAAUAUAAUAUAAUGUCUUUACAAUAAGUGGUAAUCUAAUAUAAGAUUCAUUUGAUGCAUUUUCAUUCCUAGAAGAAUCUAUCUCAGAUAAUAUUCAAGACUUUGUCGUUCCAAGUUUGUUUAAUUGGUAUCAAACAUUUCUAAAUAUGAACCCUCUCUUUUUGUAUAAGUGUAGUCCUAAAGCAUUAUUUGCGGAUAAAAGAAAAGAAAAAGAUGUGGAGAUGAGAGAAAAGAGAGGCUGUAAAAGAGAUAUAGAGAACAGAGAUGAGAGAGGUGUAAUUUUAGGUUAAAAGAAGGUUAUUAGGCUUUAGCAAGUUAUUGGGCCAUUUUUAAGGUGGGCCGUGUCCAUGGCUACGUCACUCCCGUGUCAAAGGGGCGUCCCCCGUAUGCGUGUUGACACGCCACAUGGGUAGUCGGACCGACCUCAGCCGAUUCGCUGAGUAGGUUACGCAUACAACACCAAUUUUGAUUAUUCUUGGAUCUUAAGUAUGCUACACAUACACAUGACAUUAAUGCUUUGGUACUUAUGUCAAAUAUAAUGAAUGUAUAUCAUUUGUUGUGAUGUCAUGUUAAGGAUAAAAAUACGAGAUUCAACUUCUAAUGCAAAGCACACACACAAAAAUAUAUGAUGCUGAAAAUCCACGUCCCAACUUGUAUUAUUAAUUAAAACUAUUGUCAAUAAUACAAUCCACCAAACUUGGAUACUCAAGGCUCACAGCACUCAAGUAUCCGCCCUCGAGCGAUACCUAAAUCUACACCUUGAGCACGCCUAUCAAACACAAUAUGACUAUGUAUAUAUAGCCAUCUCAAACUUAUACAAAUCAUAAUCUAAUUCAGAAAUACCUAACUCGAGUUAGAAUCCAAUUCUGAAAUCUAACUCAAAUUUUCUAUGGAUCAAAGCAUUUUGUUGAUUGAGAAGAUAAAACAUCAUGGUAGAAGCCCUCUAAAUAAAUACUCUUCAAAGUGUUAUUAAAAUUUAAUAACCCUUCUAUCGUGAUAAUUAAUAUAUUUUGAACUAGAACGGAGGGAAAAUAAAGGGAAUUUCGAAGUUUGUCUGUAGAAAAAUUUCUUAGGUUGCACGAUAUAUUCACAUCAAAUCGUGUUUAUAGUAGAUACCCUGUAAAGUGAUCACCUCCAGGUCAUAACUUCCUUAUGUUAAAUUAGGAUAAACCCCUUAUGCUAUCUGUCUUCGAAAAAAUCGCAGUGCUACUGGUGGUCCCAUUUUAUUGAUGUUUAAUAACUUUUAAGUUAUCAAUUAUCUUCUGACCUAGUUGUAGUUGUGAAUUUUGUAGGUUGCAAAUUCCCUUUGUAUUUAUAAGAGGUGUUUAUAAACUUUGAAGAUGUACAAUUCAUGAUAAUUUUAUUGGAUGGAAGUGUUACAUGAGUAAAUCUUUUGGAAAUCCCACAAACUAUGGAUAUUGUAUGUAUUCAUUGGCUAAAACACAUAUUAAAUUAUUUCAGAGCAAAAUAAAUGUGAAUCCGUCUGUAAUGAUACUUUCGCUCAGUUUCCCGGACUCUUCGAUUUGGCUUGACUGGACAAGACAUGGGUGUGGGUACCGGAGACGACUUAAGUGCAAAAUGAUGAUAUAAAAUGCCUUAUAACAACUUGUUCGUAAAGAGCAAGGUCCAAUAUAUGACUCUUUUUUUUAUGUUAUCCUUGACUUUAUGACACAAAUAUGACGCAUGUAAUCACAUGCAUAACUUUAAUUGGUAGAAGACAUUAGUCAUACAUACCUUCUAAGAUGUAAAAUGGAUUAAAUGAACUAGUUAACUUUUGGGCACACAUGUUAAAGUGCUUUGACCAAGAAAAUUAAAUAAAUAAUUUACGGAGCUACAUGGUCAAUGCUCUUUAGAUUGUGUGCUGAAAUUCAACUGCCUCAUAUAAUUAGAUCUAAUUUGGGAUGGAGCUGUGGAGGGAGUAUUUUUGUAGGCCCUAAUAAUAUCAUUUUAGAGGGGCUUUAUUGUAUCCAUAAAUUUAAGGUCUUGUGACAUAUGAGUGUACAUCUUGAUGUUUGGAUUGAAGUGGAAUAAUAACAUGACAUGUUCUAUAAAGUUUUACUGAGCAUGUUUAUAUUUGCGUGGUGGGAUUCAAGGAAGUUAAGAUUUAAAUAGGAGUUCGUCAAGCUAAAUUAUUCGUAUAAAUAUUCUGUUUAAGAUUUUCAACGUGAGACUACUUCGAGUUACAACUUACAAUCUUUCCCUUUGUAAAGUUUAUGAUUUUUACUUUGAACUAAAGCAAUUGGUAAUGGGACUUCCAAAACUUUAGUGGACAAUGGGAGAGAAUAUGCCUAUAUAUAUAGAUGCACAGUAACGAGAGACCCAGAAACUUUUCUUUUAAAUUUGAGAUAAACGUGAACCUCCUUAUAUGGGAUCACGACAUAGUAUUGUGUAAGCAUUUAUUUUUGUGGUUUACAAAGCACAACAUUGUGCUAAAGUAUAAAAUAUUCCAAAAAAAAUUAUCUAGCUGACUCGUCUCUUAUGGUUGUGUCAUGCAAAAAAUUUGUCACUACUUUUGUCAUGUAACCUUUACCACGCAGGUUGAUUAAAAACCUUGAAGAGUGUUCUAUCCACCUAUCCAAGAUGUUGGAUCUGCUGAUUUUUGGCAACUUUUACAAAAUUAAUGCAGUAUUGUUAAAAUUGUGGUGCCAAGCCUCGAACAGUUCUUGGCAGUGUUUUUGACUGGGAUGUUGAAAUUGUGGCGCCAAGUUUCAAACAAGUCCCACCAACGGUUCAGAAAUACAAGUGUCAAGGUUAGAUAUGCUUAUAAUUUUCUUAGCUUUGAUUUAUUCACUUACGAUGGGGUUUGUCUGAAAUGGAAUUAGACAUUUUAGUUGUGAUAAAUUGGGUCAGCUUAGUCCCUCCUGCGUUGUAAUAAGCUAAAGUGUAAACAAGGCCUAAGUCAUAAAUCUCGUUGUUGUGGUAUCUAGGUGCUUAACAAAAUGACUUUAGGUUGUGUAUUAUUGAAGGCUAUAGACAAGAUAAAGACGUCUCGUGGUACUACUUUGAAGUGUUCUUGCGAAUUUCUAUCUGAAACACGUUUUUUAGACUACCUUAUCUUUUGUUAAGGAUAAAAAUACGAGAUUCAACUUCUAAUGCAAAGCACACACACAAAAAUAUAUGAUGCUGAAAAUCCACGUCCCAACUUGUAUUAUUAAUUAAAACUAUUGUCAAUAAUACAAUCCACCAAACUUGGAUACUCAAGGCUCACAGCACUCAAGUAUCCGCCCUCGAGCGAUACCUAAAUCUACACCUUGAGCACGCCUAUCAAACACAAUAUGACUAUGUAUAUAUAGCCAUCUCAAACUUAUACAAAUCAUAAUCUAAUUCAGAAAUACC
Molecule: long non-coding RNA, 3647 nt
Filed under: Daucus carota (carrot)
Lineage: Eukaryota; Viridiplantae; Streptophyta; Magnoliopsida; Apiales; Apiaceae
Description: long non-coding RNA (DCAR_LNC002193)
Source: RNAcentral